GAUGAACGCUGGCGGCGUGCCUAAUACAUGCAAGUCGAGCGAACGGACGAGAAGCUUGCUUCUCUGAUGUUAGCGGCGGACGGGUGGGUAACACGUGGAUAACCUAUCUAUAAGACUGGGAUAACUUCGGGAAACCGGAGCUAAUACCGGAUAAUAUUUUGAACCGCAUGGUUCAAAAGUGAAAGACGGUCUUGCUGUCACUUAUAGAUGGAUCCGCGCUGCAUUAGCUAGUUGGUAAGGUAACGGCUUACCAAGGCAACGAUGCAUAGCCGACCUGAGAGGGUGAUCGGCCACACUGGAACUGAGACACGGUCCAGACUCCUACGGGAGGCAGCAGUAGGGAAUCUUCCGCAAUGGGCGAAAGCCUGACGGAGCAACGCCGCGUGAGUGAUGAAGGUCUUCGGAUCGUAAAACUCUGUUAUUAGGGAAGAACAUAUGUGUAAGUAACUGUGCACAUCUUGACGGUACCUAAUCAGAAAGCCACGGCUAACUACGUG
This 497-nucleotide ribosomal RNA is filed under the name uncultured bacterium. RNAcentral describes it as "partial 16S ribosomal RNA". It matches the Rfam family "Bacterial small subunit ribosomal RNA", at positions 28 to 507 of the family's 1533-position model. The record is from RNAcentral.